AUCGAACGCUGGCGGAAUGCUUUACACAUGCAAGUCGAACGGCAGCACGGGGCAACCUGGUGGCGAGUGGCGAACGGGUGAGUAAUACAUCGGAACGUGCCCAAUCGUGGGGGAUAACGUAGCGAAAGUUACGCUAAUACCGCAUACGAUCUACGGAUGAAAGCGGGGGAUCGCAAGACCUCGCGCGAAUGGAGCGGCCGAUGUCAGAUUAGGUAGUUGGUGGGGUAAAGGCUCACCAAGCCAACGAUCUGUAGCUGGUCUGAGAGGACGACCAGCCACACUGGAACUGAGACACGGUCCAGACUCCUACGGGAGGCAGCAGUGGGGAAUUUUGGACAAUGGGCGCAAGCCUGAUCCAGCCAUUCCGCGUGCAGGAUGAAGGCC
Molecule: ribosomal RNA, 384 nt
Filed under: uncultured bacterium
Lineage: Bacteria
Description: bacterial SSU rRNA
Rfam family: Bacterial small subunit ribosomal RNA
Source: RNAcentral